This 1001-nucleotide ribosomal RNA is filed under the name Enterobacter cloacae. RNAcentral describes it as "bacterial SSU rRNA". It matches the Rfam family "Bacterial small subunit ribosomal RNA", at positions 68 to 1064 of the family's 1533-position model. The record is from RNAcentral. Lineage: Bacteria; Pseudomonadati; Pseudomonadota; Gammaproteobacteria; Enterobacterales; Enterobacteriaceae.
GGUAGCACAGAGAGCUUGCUCUCGGGUGACGAGUGGCGGACGGGUGAGUAAUGUCUGGGAAACUGCCUGAUGGAGGGGGAUAACUACUGGAAACGGUAGCUAAUACCGCAUAAUGUCGCAAGACCAAAGGAGGGGGACCUUCGGGCCUCUUGCCAUCACAUGUGCCCAGAUGGGAUUAGCUAGUAAGUGGGGUAACGGCUCACCUACGCGACGAUCCCUAGCUGGUCUGAGAGGAUGACCAGCCACACUGGAACUGAGACACGGUCCAGACUCCUACGGGAGGCAGCAGUGGGGAAUAUUGCACAAUGGGCGCAAGCCUGAUGCAGCCAUGCCGCGUGUAUGAAGAAGGCCUUCAGGUUGUAAAGUACUUUCAGCGGGGAGGAAGGUGUUGUGGUUAAUAACCGCAACAAUUGACGUUACCCGCAGAAGAAGCACCGGCUAACUCCGUGCCAUCAGCCGCGGUAAUACGGAGGGUGCAAGCGUUAAUCGGAAUUACUGGGCGUAAAGCGCACGCAGGCGGUCUGUCAAGUCGGAUGUGAAAUCCCCGGGCUCAACCUGGGAACUGCAUUCGAAACUGGCAGGCUGGAGUCUUGUAGAGGGGGGUAGAAUUCCAGGUGUAGCGGUGAAAUGCGUAGAGAUCUGGAAGAAUACCGGUGGCGAAAGCGGCCCCCUGGACUAAGACUGACGCUCAGGUGCCAAAGCGUGGGGAGCAAACAGGAUUAGAUACCCUGGUAGUCCACGCCGUACACGAUGUCGAUUUGGAGGUUGUGCCCUUGAGGCGUGUCUUCCGGAGCUAACGCGUUAAAUCGACCGCCUGGGGAGUACGGCCGCAAGGUUAAACUCAAUGAAUUGACGGGGGCCCGCACAAGCGCUGGAACAUGUGGUUUAAUUCGAUGCAACUCGAAGACCUUACCUGAUCUUGACAUCCACAGAACUUUCCAGAGAUGGAUUGGUGCCUUCGGAACUGUGAGACAGUGCUGCAUGGCUGUCGUCAGCUCGUG